UACGUAGGGUGCGAGCGUUAAUCGGAAUUACUGGGCGUAAAGCGUGCGCAGGUGGUUUGUUAAGUCAGAUGUGAAAGCCCCGAGCUUAACUUGGGAACUGCGUUUGAAACUGGCAAGCUAGAGUCUGUCAGAGGGGGGUAGAAUUCCACGUGUAGCAGUGAAAUGCGUAGAGAUGUGGAGGAAUACCAAUGGCGAAGGCAGCCCCCUGGGAUAAGACUGACGCUCAUGCACGAAAGCGUGGGGAGCAAACAGGAUUAGAUACCCUGGUAGUCCACGCCCUAAACGAUGUCAACUGGUUGUUGGGCAACUUGAUUGUUCAGUAACGAAGCUAACGCGAGAAGUUGACCGCCUGGGGAGUACGGUCGCAAGAUUAAAACUCAAAGGAAUUGACGGGGACCCGCACAAGCGGUGGAUGAUGUGGAUUAAUUCGAUGCAACGCGAAAAACCUUACCUACCCUUGACAUGUACGGAAGUCUGCUGAGAGGUGGAUGUGCCUGAAAGGGAACCGUAACACAGGUGCUGCAUGGCUGUCGUCAGCUCGUGUCGUGAGAUGUUGGGUUAAGUCCCGCAACGAGCGCAACCCUUGCUAUUAAUUGCCAUCAUUAAGUUGGGCACUUUAAUGGGACUGCUGGUGAUAAACCGGAGGAAGGUGGGGAUGACGUCAAGUCCUCAUGGCCCUUAUGGGUAGGGCUUCACACGUCAUACAAUGGCCGGUACAGAGGGAUGCCAACCCGCGAGGGGGAGCCAAUCUCAGAAAGCCGGUCGUAGUCCGGAUUGUUCUCUGC
RNAcentral lists this ribosomal RNA (785 nucleotides) under uncultured bacterium. RNAcentral's name for it is "bacterial SSU rRNA". It matches the Rfam family "Bacterial small subunit ribosomal RNA", at positions 524 to 1308 of the family's 1533-position model. The record is from RNAcentral.